This 513-nucleotide ribosomal RNA is filed under the name uncultured bacterium. RNAcentral describes it as "bacterial SSU rRNA". It matches the Rfam family "Bacterial small subunit ribosomal RNA", at positions 263 to 769 of the family's 1533-position model. The record is from RNAcentral.
ACUCACCAAGGCGACGAUCUGUAGCGGGUCUGAGAGGAUGAUCCGCCACACUGGAACUGAGACACGGUCCAGACUCCUACGGGAGGCAGCAGUGGGAAUUUUGGACAAUGGGGGCAACCCUGAUCCAGCCAUGCCGCGUGAGUGAAGAAGGCCUUCGGGUUGUAAAGCUCUUUCGGCCGGGAAGAAAUCGUAUCAGCUAAUACCUGGUGCGGAUGACGGUACCGGCAUAAGAAGCACCGGCUAACUACGUGCCAGCAGCCGCGGUAAUACGUAGGGUGCAAGCGUUAAUCGGAAUUACUGGGCGUAAAGCGUGCGCAGGCGGACUUUUAAGCCAGAUGUGAAAGCCCCGAGCUUAACUUGGGAAUUGCGUUUGGAACUGGGAGUCUAGAGUCUGUCAGAGGGGGAUGGAAUUCCACGUGUAGCAGUGAAAUGCGUAGAGAUGUGGAGGAACACCGAUGGCGAAGGCAGUCCCCUGGGAUAAGACUGACGCUCAUGCACGAAAGCGUGGGGAGC